UACGGGGGGAGCAAGCGUUGUUCGGAUUUACUGGGCGUAAAGGGCGCGUAGGCGGCCUCUGCAAGUCGACUGUGAAAUCUCCGGGCUUAACCCGGAAAGGUCAGCCGAUACUGCAGGGCUAGAGUGCAGAAGGGGCAACUGGAAUUCUCGGUGUAGCGGUGAAAUGCGUAGAUAUCUGGAGGAACACCGGUGGCGAAGGCGGCAUCCUGGACCGACACUGACGCUGAGGCGCGAAAGCUAGGGUAGCAAACGGG
Molecule: ribosomal RNA, 254 nt
Filed under: uncultured bacterium
Lineage: Bacteria
Description: partial 16S ribosomal RNA
Rfam family: Bacterial small subunit ribosomal RNA
Source: RNAcentral